UGUGACAGAAAGGCCAGAUUAACAUGUGC
RNAcentral lists this non-coding RNA (29 nucleotides) under Homo sapiens (human). Lineage: Eukaryota; Metazoa; Chordata; Mammalia; Primates; Hominidae. The record is from RNAcentral.